Molecule: long non-coding RNA, 880 nt
Filed under: Gossypium barbadense (sea-island cotton)
Lineage: Eukaryota; Viridiplantae; Streptophyta; Magnoliopsida; Malvales; Malvaceae
Description: long non-coding RNA (GBAR_LNC013785)
Source: RNAcentral
UCUAAGAAUGCCCACACGUGGAUCUAACAAUUAGAUUACCUAUUCAAUCAGUAACAGUGAUCUUACGUUAAUAACAAUCAUUAUUAAUGUUGAUACGAUAGUUACUAUCGAUUUCUAUUAACACUUACCCUUAGAAAUAAUCACUCAGAUUAGUGAUUUUGAUUCCCACGUUAAUGGUCUCUCGAGUUGGUGUCAAUCGGCCCUUCAAUAAACAUGACAUACGAGAUGGUAAUACUUGAUAAAUAAUUCACUAUGACCUUAAAAAUAUUUGGUCAAGAGAAAAGUAGGGAGAUUUCUACUCAACCCUUACACUUACACUAACUUGGUUGAAACGAGAGGAUCGAAGAAUCGUCUUGAACACGAAUUAGAGAGGAACGGAGGAUCUAAAUAGCAGGACUAUUUUUGAAAAUAGGUCAAUGAAAAAGUUUACGAUUAAGAACUAAUUAAAAAUAAAUAAUGCAGAAUUUUUUUAUGAUUAAAAAGAAUAACAAAGGUUGAAAAUUGAAGAAGAAAAGAGGAAGAAUCUCAACCGUCGGAAGUGGUGCUACGAUGACGACGGUUCGACAACAUAGGUGGCGGCUCGGUGGAGGAGAAGAAAAGAAUAUUGGUUCAGUCACUCACUUAAAGAAGGAGAAAGGAGAAGAGAGAAAAAUAAUAAAAAGAGAGGAUUUGCGCGAUGGUUGUCAUGGUGAUGGAGGGUGGCGCUAAGGGCAGCGGUGGAACAAAAAGAAGAAGAGAGGAAGAUCAUGGGUGAUGAAGUGGUGGUGUUUAGGUCAAAUGGUGGAGGCUAACGGUGGAGGAAAGGAGACCAAAAUCAAAAUAAUGGUGGUUCAAGGUGGUGCAAAAGGGGAGGAAGAGAGAAAAGUGAGGAGCAAAGGUG